Molecule: ribosomal RNA, 492 nt
Filed under: uncultured bacterium
Lineage: Bacteria
Description: partial 16S ribosomal RNA
Rfam family: Bacterial small subunit ribosomal RNA
Source: RNAcentral
AGUGAACGCUGGCGGUAGGCCUAACACAUGCAAGUCGAACGGCAGCACAGUAAGAGCUUGCUCUUACGGGUGGCGAGUGGCGGACGGGUGAGGAAUACAUCGGAAUCUACUUUUUCGUAGGGGAUAACGUAGGGAAACUUACGCUAAUACCGCAUACGACCUACGGGUGAAAGCAGGGGAUCUUCGGACCUUGCGCGAUUGAAUGAGCCGAUGUCGGAUUAGCUAGUUGGCGGGGUAAAGGCCCACCAAGGCGACGCUCCGUAGCUGGUCUGAGAGGAUGAUCAGCCACACUGGAACUGAGACACGGUCCAGACUCCUACGGGAGGCAGCAGUGGGGAAUAUUGGACAAUGGGCGCAAGCCUGAUCCAGCCAUACCGCGUGGGUGAAGAAGGCCUUCGGGUUGUAAAGCCCUUUUGUUGGGAAAGAAAAGCAGCAGGUUAAUACCCCGCUGUCCUGACGGUACCCAAAGAAUAAGCACCGGCUAACUUCGUG